GCAGUCGACGAUGAACCCCUUCGGGGUGGAUUAGUGGGCGAACGGGUGAGUACCGUGGGCAAUCUGCCCUGCACUUCGGGACAAGCCCUGGAAACGGGGUCUAAUACCGGAACCCGCCGCCGCCCGCAUGGGCGGCGGCGGAAAGCUCCGGCGGUGCAGGAUGAGCCCGCGGCCUAUCAGCUGGUUGGUGAGGUAACGGCUCACCAAGGCGACGACGGGUACCGGCCUGAGAGGGCGACCGGCCACACUGGGACUGAGAACGGCCCAGACUCCUACGGGAGGAGCGUGGGGAAUUUGACAAUGGGCGAAGCCGAAUGCACGACCCCCGGAGGACGACGCUUCGGGUUGUAAACCUCUU
RNAcentral lists this ribosomal RNA (358 nucleotides) under Streptomyces kebangsaanensis. RNAcentral describes it as "bacterial SSU rRNA". It matches the Rfam family "Bacterial small subunit ribosomal RNA", at positions 57 to 435 of the family's 1533-position model. Lineage: Bacteria; Bacillati; Actinomycetota; Actinomycetes; Kitasatosporales; Streptomycetaceae. The record is from RNAcentral.